This 20-nucleotide small nuclear RNA is filed under the name Arabidopsis thaliana (thale cress). RNAcentral's name for it is "snRNA_02297". Lineage: Eukaryota; Viridiplantae; Streptophyta; Magnoliopsida; Brassicales; Brassicaceae. The record is from RNAcentral.
GCUUGUGGCAGCCAAGCGUU